AGGGAAUAGAUACCCGGGUAGUCCACGCCGUAAACUAUGGAUGCUAGCUGUGAACCGUAUCGACCCGGUUCGUAGCGAAAGCUAAACGCGUUAAGCAUCCCGCCUGUGGAGUACGGCUGCAAGGCUAAAACAUAAAGGAAUUGACGGGGACCCGCACAAGCGGUGGAGCGUGUUGUUUAAAUUCGAUGGUAAGCGAAGAACCUUACCCAGGCUUGACAUCCCGAGAAGCACUGCGAAAGCAGAGUGUGCCGUAAGGAACUCGGAGACAGGUGUUGCAUGGCCGUCGUCAGCUCGUGUCGUGAGAUGUUUGGUUAAGUCCAUCAACGAGCGCAACCCUUAUAGUCAGUUGUAUUUUUCUGGCUAGACUGCCCC
This 372-nucleotide ribosomal RNA is filed under the name uncultured bacterium. RNAcentral's name for it is "bacterial SSU rRNA". It matches the Rfam family "Bacterial small subunit ribosomal RNA", at positions 773 to 1155 of the family's 1533-position model. The record is from RNAcentral.